This 292-nucleotide unclassified non-coding RNA is filed under the name uncultured fungus. RNAcentral's name for it is "partial contains small subunit ribosomal RNA, internal transcribed spacer 1, and 5.8S ribosomal RNA". The stretch from base 1 to 73 matches the Rfam family "Eukaryotic small subunit ribosomal RNA", at positions 1759 to 1831 of the family's 1831-position model. Lineage: Eukaryota; Fungi. The record is from RNAcentral.
GCAAACUUGGUCAUUUAGAGGAAGUAAAAGUCGUAACAAGGUUUCCGUAGGUGAACCUGCGGAAGGAUCAUUAGCGAACCGAACGAAAAAAAGGGCUGUCGCUGCGCCUCUCACCCGAGGCGCGUGCACGCCCGCCCCACCCACGUACCCCGUGAACCUCAUCGUGGGGACCUCCUGGGUCUCCCGCGGAAGAAAAACAAACCCCACUCGUCGAAUGUCUCUUGCGUGUAACGCAUGUCGUACAACUUUCAGCAACGGAUCUCUUGGCUCUCGCAUCGAUGAAGAACGCAGC